UCCAUCCAUUUUUCUACAAUG
RNAcentral lists this non-coding RNA (21 nucleotides) under Caenorhabditis elegans. Lineage: Eukaryota; Metazoa; Nematoda; Chromadorea; Rhabditida; Rhabditidae. The record is from RNAcentral.